Molecule: ribosomal RNA, 815 nt
Filed under: Microbacterium sp. HCA1-21_Pa
Lineage: Bacteria; Bacillati; Actinomycetota; Actinomycetes; Micrococcales; Microbacteriaceae
Description: bacterial SSU rRNA
Rfam family: Bacterial small subunit ribosomal RNA
Source: RNAcentral
GUCGAACGGUGAAGCCCAGCUUGCUGGGUGGAUCAGUGGCGAACGGGUGAGUAACACGUGAGCAACCUGCCCCUGACUCUGGGAUAAGCGCUGGAAACGGCGUCUAAUACUGGAUAUGUGACGUGACCGCAUGGUCUGCGUCUGGAAAGAAUUUCGGUUGGGGAUGGGCUCGCGGCCUAUCAGCUUGUUGGUGAGGUAAUGGCUCACCAAGGCGUCGACGGGUAGCCGGCCUGAGAGGGUGACCGGCCACACUGGGACUGAGACACGGCCCAGACUCCUACGGGAGGCAGCAGUGGGGAAUAUUGCACAAUGGGCGCAAGCCUGAUGCAGCAACGCCGCGUGAGGGAUGACGGCCUUCGGGUUGUAAACCUCUUUUAGCAGGGAAGAAGCGAAAGUGACGGUACCUGCAGAAAAAGCGCCGGCUAACUACGUGCCAGCAGCCGCGGUAAUACGUAGGGCGCAAGCGUUAUCCGGAAUUAUUGGGCGUAAAGAGCUCGUAGGCGGUUUGUCGCGUCUGCUGUGAAAUCCGGAGGCUCAACCUCCGGCCUGCAGUGGGUACGGGCAGACUAGAGUGCGGUAGGGGAGAUUGGAAUUCCUGGUGUAGCGGUGGAAUGCGCAGAUAUCAGGAGGAACACCGAUGGCGAAGGCAGAUCUCUGGGCCGUAACUGACGCUGAGGAGCGAAAGGGUGGGGAGCAAACAGGCUUAGAUACCCUGGUAGUCCACCCCGUAAACGUUGGGAACUAGUUGUGGGGUCCAUUCCACGGAUUCCGUGACGCAGCUAACGCAUUAAGUUCCCCGCCUGGGGAGUACGGCC